GACGAACGCUGGCGGCGUGCUUAACACAUGCAAGUCGAACGGAAAGGCCCUGCUUUUGUGGGGUGCUCGAGUGGCGAACGGGUGAGUAACACGUGAGUAACCUGCCCUUGACUUUGGGAUAACUUCAGGAAACUGGGGCUAAUACCGGAUAGGAGCUCCUGCUGCAUGGUGGGGGUUGGAAAGUUUCGGCGGUUGGGGAUGGACUCGCGGCUUAUCAGCUUGUUGGUGGGGUAGUGGCUUACCAAGGCUUUGACGGGUAGCCGGCCUGAGAGGGUGACCGGCCACUUUGGGACUGGGAUGCGGCCCAGACCCCGAGGGGAGGAAGAAGGGGGGAAUAUUGCCCAAGGGGCGGAAGCCUGAUGAGGCAACGCAGCGGGGGGGAUACGGGCCUUCGGGUUGAAAACCGCUUUCGCCUGUGACGAAGGGUAGGUGAGGGUAAUGGGUAAAGAAGCACCGGCUAACUACGG
RNAcentral lists this ribosomal RNA (467 nucleotides) under uncultured bacterium. RNAcentral describes it as "partial 16S ribosomal RNA". It matches the Rfam family "Bacterial small subunit ribosomal RNA", at positions 28 to 506 of the family's 1533-position model. The record is from RNAcentral.